This 5154-nucleotide long non-coding RNA is filed under the name Gossypium barbadense (sea-island cotton). RNAcentral describes it as "long non-coding RNA (GBAR_LNC017562)". Lineage: Eukaryota; Viridiplantae; Streptophyta; Magnoliopsida; Malvales; Malvaceae. The record is from RNAcentral.
UUUAUUUUCUCUCCUCCAGGCUCCAAGCCCAAGAACCAAACCUUUUCUCAAUUCUCAGCAGGUAACAGCAACACAAAUCGGAUUCUCAAUCUCAAUCUCAAAUUCUCAGUCGAAUCGGGAAAAUCCACCAUUUUUGCUGUCCAUUUUUCUUCCAGCACACCAAUACCCAGAGGCCAGGUUUGCUUUAUUCUAAUUUCCCUUUCGUUUUUUUCCAAUUUCUUCAAUGGCAGAUAUAUUUUAGGGUUUUGUUUUGUUUAGUUUGUCUACCUUUUUCUGAUUUAACUUUUCUUCUUUUUCUUCUUCUUCUUCUUCUUCUUCUUUUUCUUCUUCUUCUUCUUUUUCUUCUUCUUCUUCUUCAGUUCUUCUUUUUUUUUUCUUCAGUUCUUCUUUUUUUUUUCUUUUUAAGUUCCGAAUCACUGCAAACUCCCACUUGUUUUUCGUUAAUAGUACAGCCUGCUUUGAAAGUUUUCAAUCUGCAAGAUUUUUUUCCCCUGGCGUUAUGUUCUGUUUGGUGGCUGAGAAAAUGUAGGAAGAAAGAUAAAUAGGCUUUUGAUUUCUGACAGCUGUGUUAAUAUCAUUUCGUCAAAGUGAAUUUUAAUUCACUACCUAAACCAGAAAAAUAAAUUAAAUGCGAAUAGAGACGAAAAUGAGAGUUUUGUUCUCUGGAUUUCAUGGUAACAAUAACGAAUAUAGACAAUUAUUUAUGUUUCAUAUCUCAACAGCGUUCCAAUUCUUAAUUGUUAUUAUUUUUUCCUUUGUGAAAUUGGAAUUUCUAUGGAAGGAUUGCUUCAAAGUCUUUAAAGGCAUUUGGUUUAGUUGAACUCUGUGUGUGUUUUCCAGGUUGAAUAUGUGAGGCAAUUAGAUGUCACCCAACAUUGUUUCUAUUUAGUAUUUACUGUCUUUGAAUGUGCCUUCAAUUUCAAAGAUACUGAAUUUGGUUUGAAAAUUGUUUCCAUUUCAAUUUUCAAAGAUACUGACAUUAUAUUAAGAUGUAAUUGUUUCAAUUACUUCAUCACUCUUGCUUUGCUUGCUGCUCAUGCUCCUAAUUUGCAUAUUCUAUUUCGUUUAAUUUUUAUUUUUGUUAAAAAUUAUUGAAAUACAAAAGAUAAAUGAUAAAUUUAUUUUAUAACGCUAUAAAACAAAUUAUUUAAUACAUAUUAAAUACAAUAUAGUAUUUCUUUUUAGAAAUUCAACAGUUUAAAAACCAAAUCAUAAAUCCAAUAAACAUGAAAGCAAUAUAUAAUUAACACAACUUGCUCUUGUUUUUAAUUUUUUUAACAUCUAUUUAAUAACUCCCUUUGUAUUUCUAUUUACAUUAAUAAACAUAUUAUAGCGACUAUAAAAAUAGCAAAAAGAUUAUUUAACUUAAAAGAAGAGAAAAAUAGUUGUCUGCUGCCUUUCAAUUUUCAAUUUUCAUUCUAUUGAUAAAAGAUUUUAAUCUCUACAUUUUCAAAAUAAGAUGAAAAAAAAUGCAUUUUUUUAAAUUCUCUUACAUCGAUUUUUUAAUAUCUAUUUAAAUUUUAAUAUCUAUUUAAAAUUGGCGUUAUCAAACAAGUUUCUAAUAACUUUAACAGUAACUUAGCAAAGUGUUACCCUUUUCAAAAUUUAUUCUAUUUCUCUCUCAAAUUGUAAAGAAACCUUAAAACCCCUCAUCUCUGCUAUAGUCAUAGUGCAACCAACUUCUAUUUGGAUUGUUGUGCGCCAUCCGUCCCUCCUCUCUCCGAUCUUCCCUCUACUUUUUUAUAUUGGAGUUCGAUGGUUUGUUGAGAAGAGCAUGGCUUUGUUUGCGAGAGUCAAUGCACCAGUAAAAUGACUCCUAAUCUAGUGGCUAAUGCCUCAAUUUGCGUUGUUGACUCUUCUAAUACUUGUGUUUUUGCUAACCAAUUUCAACCUUUGUCUCUCCGAAUUGAUGACUCGAUAUUAUUUUGAUUUAUUAUAUUUUUUUUCUUACAAAAUGUCAACCGAACCAACAUCUAUUGAGGGUAGUGUUACACCUCCUACUUCGAUAGAUUCUGAAAAUUCGGGAGUUGGAGCUUCAAGCCAAACAAAGGGGACUAACAGGAAAAGAAAAGCCGCUCCUCAAAAGUCAAAAGUUUGGUCUCACUUCACUAAGAUUAUUAAUAGUGAGGGUGCAAGUAAUGCUAAAUGUAAUUAUUGUCAAAAGGAAUUUUGUUGUGAUAUAAAAAUAAAUGGUACAGGGUUAUUGAAAUAUCAUAUUGGUUCAUGUAAGAAAAAUCCUAGUAAUGUUAUUGAAAAUACUCAAGGACAACUAGUUUUACCUAGAAAGGGAGUUGAAGGGGUAAAGAGAAUCUUUCAACUUGGAGAUUUGAUCAAGAAGCAUGUAGGAAAGGAUUAGCACAAAUGAUUGUGAUUGAUGAAUUACCUUUCAAGUUUGUUGAAAGUGAAGGUUUUAAUAAAUUUAUGUUUGUGGCAUGUCCUAAGUUUCAUAUUCCUUCACGAACUACUAUGACUAGGGAUGUUUAUCAAUUAUAUUUAGAUGAAAAGAUCAAGAUAAAACAACUUUUUGAGAAGUUCUUGUUCUAGAAUUUGCUUAACUACUGACACAUGGACUUCUUUAAAAAGAGUUAAUUAUUUGUGCAUCACUACUCAUUUUAUUGAUAAUGAUUGGAAAUUAAAUAAAAAGAUUUUAAACUUUUAUCCAAUUUCUAGUCAUAAGGGUGAGUGUAUUGGGAUGGUGAUUGAGAAAUGCUUAUUGAAUUGGGGGAUUGAUAAGUUGUUUACUGUUACUGUUGAUAAUGCAAGUUCAAAUGAUGUUGCUAUUGGUUAUUUGAGAAAGAAAUGUAACCCUCGAGAGGGCUUAGUUCAAAAUGGUAAAUAUCUUCAUAUGAGAUGCAUGGCACACAUUGUGAAUUUGAUUGUUGUUGAAGGCUUAAAGGAAAUGAAUAAAUCUGUUGAACGUGUUAGGGGGCUGUUAGAUAUGUGAGACAAUCUCCAGCUAGAUCACAAAAAUUUAAGGAGUGUGUUGUGGUGGAAAAGAUAGAGUGCAAGAAGAUGUUGUGUCUUGAUGUUUGUACUAGGUGGAACUCGACCUACUUAAUGUUAGACAUUGUUCAGAACUUUGAGAGAGCUUUUGAGAUAUUUGAGAAGCAAGAUACAAACUUUAGGGCUGAACUUAAAAGGGAAGAGGGUUGACCUAGUGUGGAUGAUUGGGAUAAUGUUAGAAACUUAAGGGAUUUCUUGGAACACUUUUAUGAAGUCACUUUGCAUUUAUCUGGCACUUCAUAUGUCACAUUCAAUAAAUUUUUUGAUGAGCUUUCUGAAAUUGAUAUUCUUUUACAAGAUGCUCAGUUAAAAAGUAAUGUUGAUUUCUGUGUUAUGGCCAUCAAGAUGAAAGAGAAGUAUGAUAAAUAUUGGGGUGAUAUUGAUAAGAUGAAUUUGCUUAUGUUUGUUGCUUGUAUUUUAGAUCCUAGACAAAAACUAAAGUAUCUUGAAUUUGCACUUAGUGAAAUGUCUAGUUCUGAAAAAGCUUGUGAAAUGAUGCAAAAAUUGAAGGAAUCUUUGUAUGAAUUGUUUGAUGAGUAUAAGCCUCCACUUCAUAGUACUUGUAGCCAAUUGAGUGUGCCAACAUAUGUUUCUCUCGAUGAACCACAAAAAAAAUGAAAAGGCGAAUGCAAGCUUUGUAUAAAAAGCGUGAGUUGAAAUUUUGUGGUGAGGAUAAAACAUCUGAGUUGGAUAAAUAUCUAAUUGAGGCUAAUGAGGAAUUUGUUGAAGAUUUUGAUAUUUUAUUAUGGUAGAAAGUGAACAGCACUAGGUUUCCCACUCUUUCAAAAAUGGCCAGAGAUGUGUUAGCUAUACCGGUUUCUACGGUUGCUUCAGAGUCUACAUUUAGCACCGGAGGACGUGUGCUUGAUCAAUAUAGGAGUUCUUUAACUCCUAAAAUUGUACAAGCUCUUGUGUGUACUCAAUAUUGGAUUCAAAAAUCAUUAUCACAAGAAGACAUCAAAAAGAUUAAAGAACAAAUCCAAGAUCUUGACAAGAUCGAAAAUGGUAUAUUUAUUGUUUUAUUUUAAUAGUUUCAAUUUUUUUACCAUAUCACUCCUACUUAUUUAAUUAAUUCAAUGUUUAGACUUUUCUUGGAAUGCAUCAAAGCCUACCCUAAAUUCGUGAGCUUUCGUGAGUUGAAGGGUAUGCUUACUAUCUUAUUCUUGUUAACUUAUAAUCUAUUCGUUUGUUUAUAUUAUUUAAUUUUUUUAGAUGCGUAUAUUUCUAUUAUAUGCUAAAUUUUUGCACAUGUUUUUUUUGUAGGUUUAAUGCAAAUGGAGAUUUUUUGGAGAGAAGAAAUGGAUAUAAAUGGAGAAUAUUAAAGACUUACAUUUCAAUUAUGUGUUAAUUUCAAGACUUAUGUAAUGUUUUUAAUUAUGUAGUGAUUCAAAGACUUAUGUAAUGUUUUUAAUUAUGUAGUGAUUCAAUUCGGGUAAUUCGGUUAAUUCGGUUAAUUUUUAACUAAAAAUAAAAACCAUAUAAUUUUCUAUUAAUUCGGUUAACCGAUCGAUUUAACCGAAAAAAUUUCGGUUCGAUUAAUUUUUUUUUUAAAAAUUCAGUUCGGUUAACGGUUAAAAAUUUUGGAAGGUCGGUUAAUCCAGUUAUAGUUAUUUUGAGUCGGUUAAUCGAAUGCACACCCCUAUAAUUAACAUGCUUGAUGAGGAUAUGUGUUUAGGCAAUUGGCCAAAUUGGUUUGAUCAUGUUUAGUUAGCUUACCUUAAAUGUGAAAUAAAUGGUAAGUUAAUUUCCUGUUAUACGAACUUACUAAGUAUUAAAUGCUUACUUUGUUUUCUUUCCUCUGUUUUAUAGUAACCUGGAAGCUCGUUAAGGUUAGAAGUUGGUCGGAGCCACAUCACACUAUCAAUCGCCCUUUUUCGGUAUAUUUAUUAAAUCAACUUUGAUAUAAUGACAUGUAUAGGUUAAUUUGGCCAAUAAUGGCAUGUAAAUGUUUUGUUGUGAUUAGCCAUUUGAAUGACUUAUGUUUGAUACAUUUCGAUAUAUAUAUAAGUAUAUGGCCUUAUCAUGGUUGAUAUGUGUUUUGGUAUAAUUGAUUGAUGGUUAACUAAUAGGCAAAUUGUAAUAUGGCUUGAGUUGGUAUAGUUGGUAUAGAUAUGAAUAUAUAUAUGUAAGUGAUCAAAUUGUUAAGCAUGG